CCAAACUUGGUCAUUUAGAGGAAGUAAAAGUCGUAACAAGGUCUCCGUUGGUGAACCAGCGGAGGGAUCAUUAUAGAGAGUAUUAACUCCCUAAAACCCACUGUGAAUCUACCUAACGUUGCUUCGGCGGAGGUCCCGGUUGCCCUCCGUGGUGCCGGAAUCAGGCGUCCGCCGGAGGAUUCAAACUCUUGUGUUCAUUUUGUAACUGUCUGAGUGGCGCAAGCAAAUCAAAUCAAAACUUUCAACAACGGAUCUCUUGGUUCUGGCAUCGAUGAAGAACGCAGC
This 285-nucleotide unclassified non-coding RNA is filed under the name uncultured fungus. RNAcentral describes it as "partial contains small subunit ribosomal RNA, internal transcribed spacer 1, and 5.8S ribosomal RNA". The stretch from base 1 to 73 matches the Rfam family "Eukaryotic small subunit ribosomal RNA", at positions 1759 to 1831 of the family's 1831-position model. Lineage: Eukaryota; Fungi. The record is from RNAcentral.